Molecule: ribosomal RNA, 33 nt
Filed under: Cerastoderma glaucum
Lineage: Eukaryota; Metazoa; Mollusca; Bivalvia; Cardiida; Cardiidae
Description: partial 18S ribosomal RNA
Source: RNAcentral
GUUUCCGUAGGUGAACCUGCGAAUGGAUCAUUA